AGAACUUAGACAUUAUAAAAUAAGGAAAAAGUGUAUCACUAGAUUUGUUUUCGUUUGAAAGCCAAAAGUUUACCUAGUAUCCAUAUAAGGACUGAUUGUAAUCUCAAGUAGCUCUAUAAAACCCAGACGGUACAAGGAAAAUACACACAAAAAAUCAGAUUUCGUGUUACUUUCGUUGCAAUUAUGUUGCAACCAUGUUCAAGAAGAAGGUGAAACUUUUCUAUACACAAAGAAUGAAGGCUAUCGCAAAGAAGAUGAACCAAACCAAGAAAGAUUCAUCGUGCAAGAAAUUUCUCAAGAUAAGGAUCUUGCAAAAAGAAAAAAACCUAGCAGAGGACAUGGUUGUUGAAGAACAGAAAGGACGUCAACUAGCUGAUUAAGCAGGCACUCCAGGAGAUUGAUAAUAAGAUUGUCACAAUUGAUUAAUCAAAUGUUAUUUUAAAUCAUCUAUUUUGAUUUUGAUGUUUUUAAAUUAUCAAUAUGAUUGUUGUCAAGAGUGACAUUGCCUUUAUCACAAAGGCACAUUUGAAUUAAACUUAUGGAUUUGAAUAAAA
Molecule: long non-coding RNA, 554 nt
Organism: Vicia villosa (hairy vetch)
Lineage: Eukaryota; Viridiplantae; Streptophyta; Magnoliopsida; Fabales; Fabaceae
Exons: 2
Source: RefSeq, a predicted model, not a curated record